This 1450-nucleotide ribosomal RNA is filed under the name metagenome. Its description in RNAcentral is "bacterial LSU rRNA". It matches the Rfam family "Bacterial large subunit ribosomal RNA", at positions 1496 to 2925 of the family's 2925-position model. The record is from RNAcentral.
CUUUGGUUGUCCUGGGGAAAGGCGGUAGGCAUGAUUCUUAGGCAAAUCCGGGAAUCUUUAUGCCGAGCACCGAGACGAGUCCUAUGAGGACGAAGUGACUGACACCACGCUUCCAGGAAAAGCCACUAAGCUUCAGCUGUAGAAAAACCGUACCGCAAACCGACACAGGUAGGCAGGGUGAGAAUCCCAAGGCGCUUGAGAGAACUCGGGUGAAGGAACUAGGCAAAAUGGCACCGUAACUUCGGGAGAAGGUGCGCCUCUUGGUGUGGUCACGUGCGUGACUGAGCAUCGAGGGGUCGCAGUAACCUGGCCGCUGCGACUGUUUAUCAAAAACACAGCACUCUGCAAACACGAAAGUGGACGUAUAGGGUGUGACGCCUGCCCGGUGCUGGAAGGUUAAUUGAUGGGGUCAGCCGCAAGGCGAAGCUCUUGAUCGAAGCCCCAGUAAACGGCGGCCGUAACAAUAACGGUCCUAAGGUAGCGAAAUUCCUUGUCGGGUAAGUUCCGACCUGCACGAAUGGCGUAACGACAGCGGCGCUGUCUCCACCCGAGACUCAGUGAAAUUGAAAUCGCUGUGAAGAUGCAGCGUUCCCGCGGCAAGACGGAAAGACCCCGUGAACCUUUACUAUAGCUUUACACUGAACGUUGAGUUCUUCUGUGUAGGAUAGGUGGGAGGCUAUGAAACCAGGACGCUAGUUCUGGUGGAGCCAUCCUUGAAAUACCACCCUGAAGUGCUUGACGUUCUAACCUAGGUCCGUAAUCCGGAUCGGGGACCGUGUAUGGUGGGUAGUUUGACUGGGGCGGUCUCCUCCCAAAGAGUAACGGAGGAGCACGAAGGUACGCUCAGCGCGGUCGGACAUCGCGCACUGUGUGCAAAGGCAUAAGCGUGCUUGACUGCGAGAUCGACGGAUCAAGCAGGUACGAAAGUAGGUCUUAGUGAUCCGGUGGUUCUGUAUGGAAGGGCCAUCGCUCAACGGAUAAAAGGUACUCCGGGGAUAACAGGCUGAUACCGCCCAAGAGUUCAUAUCGACGGCGGUGUUUGGCACCUCGAUGUCGGCUCAUCACAUCCUGGGGCUGUAGCCGGUCCCAAGGGUAUGGCUGUUCGCCAUUUAAAGUGGUACGCGAGCUGGGUUCAGAACGUCGUGAGACAGUUCGGUCCCUAUCUGUCGUGGGCGUUGGAGAUUUGAGGGGGGCUGCUCCUAGUACGAGAGGACCGGAGUGGACGUUCCGCUGGUGUUCGGGUUGUCAUGCCCAUGGCAUUGCCCGGUAGCUACGAACGGAAGUGAUAACCGCUGAAAGCAUCUAAGCGGGAAGCACGCCCCAAGAUGAGAUCUCCCGAGAGCUUGACUCUCCUAAAGGCACCAUCAAGACUAGGUGGUUGAUAGGCACGGUGUGGAAGUGCAGCAAUGCAUUGAGCUUACGUGUACUAAUGAGCCGUGAGGCUUGACCU